Long non-coding RNA from Harpia harpyja (harpy eagle), 1540 nucleotides. RefSeq lists it as uncharacterized. The transcript has 3 exons. The record is from RefSeq and is a predicted model, not a curated record. NCBI's taxonomy places the organism in Eukaryota, Metazoa, Chordata, Aves, Accipitriformes, Accipitridae.
AACUGAAUUGUUCCGCCUGUCUAGGCUCUGGGCAGAGUCUCUAAAAGCAUGGAUCCCAGCAGAGGCAGACGAAGGGACAAACUGCAGAAGUUGAUCGGCUUAAACUAAUCCACUUCUUGACUUUCCAUUGGACCAGAUAUUUGAAGUGAGUCAUCAAGUGUGUUUAGGAACACUGGUAUAUAUCAGGAACUAUCUCACAGUGAAGCCAACAUGAACUAAAGGCAGUCAGCAAUUGCCAGGAGGCACUCAACACCUUACCAGACAGAACAGACACCAUAAAAGAAAGAUGGUAUUUAUACAUGUUGGUGGGCUCCCCUGAACCUUCUCUUCUCCAGGCUGAACAGUCCCAGCUCUCAGCCUCUCCUCAUGUGGAGGAUGCUCCAGAACCUUCAUCAUCUCUGUGAACCUGUGCCAGACUCACUCCAGUAAGUCCAUGGCUCUCGUGCACUGGGGAGCCCAGAACUGCACACAGCACCGCAGAUGUGGCCUUGCCUGCACCAAGUAGAAGGGAAGGAUCACCGCCCUCCACCUACCAGCAACGCUCUUCCUAAUGCGGCCCAGGAUGCUGUUGUUGGCCGCCUUUGCCACAAGAAUGCAUUGCUGGCUCAUGGUCAGCUUGCUGUCCACCAAGAUCCCAAGGUCUUCUCUGCAGAACUGCUUUCCAGCCAGUUGGCCUCCAGCCUGUACAGGUGCAGAUACCAUCAGAUAUCCCCAGAUGCAGGACUUUGCAUUUCCCUGUGUUGCACUUGAUGAGAUUCCUCUCUGUCCAGCCUGUCGAGGUCCCUCUCCAUGGCAGCACAACCCUCUGGCUCAUCAGCCACUCCUUCCAGUUUUUUUAUCAUCUACAAACUUGCCGAGGGUGCACUCUGCCCCAUCAUCCAGGUCAUUAAUGAAGAUGUGGAACAGCACUGGCCCCAGUAUUGACCCCUGGGGUAUGCCACUAGUGACUGGCCUCCAACUGGACCUUGUACCACUGAUCACAACCCUCUGGGCCCAUCUAUUCAGUUUUUAAUCCACCUUACAGCCCACUUAUCUAAUCCACACCCUGUCAGCUUGUCUACAAGGAUGUUACGGUAGACCACAACCUUACUAAGAUCAAAGUAAACAACAUCCACCGCUCUCCCCAUGUCCACCAAGCUAGUCACCUCAUUACAAAAGGCAGUAAGGCUGCUCGAGCAUGGUUUCCCCUUUGUAAAUCCAUGCUGACUACUUGUGACCACCUUGUCCUUCAUGUGUUUGGAAAUGCUUUCGAGGAGGAUUUUCUUCAUCACCUUCUGAGGGACUGAGGUGAGGCUGACAAACCUGUAGUUCCCUGGAUCUUCCUUCCUGCCCAUAGAGAUGACAUCUGUUCAGAAUGGCACACUUUCCUUCUGUACCUUUCAGGAUAGAGAGAAUAGGGAAGGACUGGAAAAGAGUGAUAAAUUCGCUUUCCCUGUGCUACAAAAUGCUACUUGAAGUGUUCCCUGGAAAUGCUGUUCCUUUUUAAAAAUCAGGUAUUUUCCUCCCUGUUUCUUCUUGUCCCUGUCAAAGAAUGAGUAUC